This 253-nucleotide ribosomal RNA is filed under the name uncultured bacterium. RNAcentral describes it as "partial 16S ribosomal RNA". It matches the Rfam family "Archaeal small subunit ribosomal RNA", at positions 474 to 727 of the family's 1478-position model. The record is from RNAcentral.
UACCCGCAGCACAAGUGGUGGUCAUUAUUAUUGGGCCUAAAGCGUCCGUAGCUGGCUUGUUAGAUGCCUGGGUAAAUCGAUGCGCUCAACGUAUCGAACUCCGGGUAGACCGGCAAGCUUGGGACCGGGAGAGGCGUGAGCUACUCGAGGGGUAGGGGUAAAAUCCUGUAAUCCUUCGGGGAGGACCAGUGGCGAAGGCGUCACGUUAGAACGGCUCCGACAGUGAGGGACGAAGCCCUGGGGCGCAAACCGG